RNAcentral lists this ribosomal RNA (468 nucleotides) under uncultured bacterium. RNAcentral's name for it is "partial 16S ribosomal RNA". It matches the Rfam family "Bacterial small subunit ribosomal RNA", at positions 28 to 507 of the family's 1533-position model. The record is from RNAcentral.
GACGAACGCUGGCGGCGUGCUUAAUACAUGCAAGUCGAACGGAAAGGCCAUGCUUUUGCGGGGUGCUCGAGUGGCGAACGGGUGAGUAAAACGUGAGUAACACGUCCUUGACUUUGGGAUAACUUUAGGAAACUGGGGCUAAUAUAGGAUAGGAGAUCUUGAUGCAUGGUGGGGGUUGGAAAGAUUCGGCGGUUGGGGAUGGACUCGCGGCUUAUGCGCUUGUUGGUGGGGUAGUGGAUUACCAAGGCUUUGACGGGUAGCCGGCCUGAGAGGUUGACCGGGCUCAUUGGGCCUGAGAUACGGCCCAGACGCCUACGGGAGGCAACAGUGGAGAAUAUUGCACAGUGGGCGGAAGCCUGAGGCGACGACGCCGCGUGCGGAAUGACCGCCUACUAGUUAUAAACCGCUUUCUCCUGAGACGAAGCCUGAUUGACGGUAAUGAAUAAGAAAGCACCGGCUAACUACGUG